GCCGGGCGCGGUGGCGCACGCCUGUAGUCCCAGCUACUCGGGAGGCUGAGACAGGAGGAUCGCUUGAGUCCAGGAGUUCUGGGCUGUAGUGCGCUAUGCCGAUCGGGUGUCCGCACUAAGUUCGGCAUCAAUAUGGUGACCUCCCGGGAGCGGGGGACCACCAGGUUGCCUAAGGAGGGGUGAACCGGCCCAGGUCGAAAACGGAGCAGGUCAAAACUCCCGUGCUGAUCAGUAGUGGGAUCGCGCCUGUGAAUAGCCACUGCACUCCAGCCUGGGCAACAUAGCGAGACCCCGUCCCUU
This 300-nucleotide signal recognition particle RNA is filed under the name Mus spicilegus (steppe mouse). Its description in RNAcentral is "Metazoan signal recognition particle RNA (ENSMSIG00000022615.1)". It matches the Rfam family "Metazoan signal recognition particle RNA". Rfam says of the family: The signal recognition particle (SRP) is a universally conserved ribonucleoprotein. It is involved in the co-translational targeting of proteins to membranes. The eukaryotic SRP consists of a 300-nucleotide 7S RNA and six proteins: SRPs 72, 68, 54, 19, 14, and 9. Lineage: Eukaryota; Metazoa; Chordata; Mammalia; Rodentia; Muridae. The record is from Rfam by way of RNAcentral.